Long non-coding RNA from Rhododendron vialii, 778 nucleotides. RefSeq lists it as uncharacterized. The record is from RefSeq and is a predicted model, not a curated record. Lineage: Eukaryota; Viridiplantae; Streptophyta; Magnoliopsida; Ericales; Ericaceae. The transcript is spliced from 4 exons.
CUUAUUAAGCCGUUUACACUGUUCUACUUCAUCAUCACAACACUGUUGCUGCGGCUGUGGCCGUCUUCAAAAUAGGUGGCAGAUUUGUUAUUCCUUCACCUCACUCCUGGGUUCAUUACGGCUACGACGAAAGAGAACGUGUCAGAAAAGGGGCUUCAACACAUAUUUUAUCUAACGUUGCAAUCUGGCAUUGCUGCUUUAUGCUCUAGGUUCCUUUAACGGAUUGACAGUUGGUGACUUGGUGCAAUUCUGAUCUGCUCUAGCAGUUCAGGUUUAUUUAGAUAAAAAAAAAAUAAAGGAAGAAGAGGAGACCAUUGCCAGAUUACAUUCAGAAGGUCCAAAAGGAAGUAAACCUGUUAAAAUACCUAUAGAUACUACUAUCAAGCAUUUGGAAGCUACGGUAACAACUAAUAGGUUGGAUAUGGAGAGCUUGAACUCGAAGUUGGAAGAGUUGCAUUGUGUGUCUUCAUCUUUAAUGAAGCUGGACGUGAAUGCACAUCAGCACAUAUAAUUGGUACUAAAGACUGCAGGUCUCUUUUAGCUGCACUACGUAUUGGCCUUUCUCAUGCCUUUUUGAAAAGUUAACUGAAAUAUGUUCACGCUUUUGUCGUGCUACUUUUGUAGGAUUACCCAAUAUCAGUUAAACUUCUUCCAUCCCUUCAAUGGCUUUUGGUAUCUAUUAUCUAGAUGUAUUUCAACUUGGAUGUUGCAGAUACAUACAUACUAUCUUUUGUUAUGUUGCCAGCCUUACAUCAUCAAUGAAGUAAUACCUAUCUAA